GAAGUCAUAUGAAGCUUGGCUCGCCUCAAGUCGUCGUUCAGGUUAAAUCAAGCCGAGCUAGAUUGAGCCAAGACGAGAGAGCUUUUCGAACUUGCUUGGCUCGUGUACAACCCUAACUAACAGAAAGUUGCAUAAAAGAGUCAACAAGAGCAUUAUAAAACAAUUUGCAAGACAUUAUCUGCUAGAAAGUAGCUUUCUUCCACGUACGGUCGGUAAUGCUUUAACAAUAAAAAAAAGGUCACGAGUCAAAUGGCUUGUUAAUCAUGAGACAAGAACAAGCCACGAUGGACUUAACCGGCCCCAUUCAUACCCAUAAGAUGACAUCCCUUAUAAUUAUGGUUUCUUCCAUAUUGUUUUCUCAAUGGGAGCCAUGUACUUUGUAAUGUUAUUCAUCAUCUGGAACUUAGACCAUUCAACCAGGAAGUAAGAAAUCAGGAUUUUAAAUGCAUGCCAUUUUCUUAUGAUCUUUGGGCCUUCAAACCUUAUACAAUGGUGUUGCAUCUCAUGUAUGUUGGUAUAGGAAUUUAUUUAAAAUUGAGCUUGGACAUUAGGAACAUUGUGUGAUCUAGGUUGUAUGAAUGAAACUAUAAUAGUUAUCACUGCAUCUGGUUUAUCUACUUAAUGUUAACCAUCGUUUUCCGUUGCAAAUUUACAAUCGGGAUCUGCUCCUAUUUCUCUACUUUCUAGUUUCAGCUAUGACUUUGUUCAAGAUUCACCAUGCAGCAGACACGUGAAUCAAAUUAAACCAUUCAAGCUGUGAACCAUAAUUUAGAUGGACCAUAGACCGAAAGUUAUAUGGAAUUGAUUAUGUAAAUAGCUAAUUGGUAGAUAUUUAUUGGAUGGUUCAAAUGAAAUAAUUUAGACGGACCAUAGACUACAAAUUUUUUUUAGCAUGUGAACAUUUAGGUUGGCGCAAUUAUAUCUUCUUUUAUAUACUUUUUUUUUUUGUUACUUUUUGGAUUUCAGCGCUGUGGAUCCUCUAAUGGCGGAUUCUAACAACACGAUUGCGAGUGGAAGACAAACACCACCAAAUGGGAAUCAGUUAUGCAAAGCUGGCAAAUCUGCCUCCAAUUAUAGGACUCUAUUCAAGUUUUGUCCCACCAUAUGAGCCAGGGGUUUUUUCAAGCCGGGCCACUCCAUCCAUAGCACAGAGUGAGUGAUUUUCUAUUGUUUAUAUCUUUUGGGUGUUAUAAUAUCUUUUGAUUCUGCCCUCUUCUGCUUUCGGGCAUGUUUGGAUGUGCUAUGGAAUUGGAUUUCAACUUUAGUUUGAUAAAUCGAGAUAACCAAAUUAGAGUUUCUAUUGUCAGAAUUCAUGUUGAGGAUCUGGGUAUGUGACUUUGAAAUGGAACCUUGAGUAGGGAAAAUCCUUGCAUUUGGAAACCCGAAAAAUGUAAGCAAUGGAUUCCAGUUGUAAGCUAAUUCUGCCAGAACACCAGCUUUUGAAUUGGUGGACAAAGGGUAGCUUGCAAAUUCAAGGGAAUGAAUUCCCUUCCAACAAUGAUGUUUUUUUAAUUGUUUCAUAAAAAGACCUUUCCAAGUGAAUGAAUUCUAAGUGCCCAAUCAUGGUUUCUAGAUUCCACAUAAUUUCAUUCUCAGAUGUCAAACAUCACUGAUAGAAUCAGUUCUUGAGGAAUUUGUUUCGUGGAAAUAAAUUAUUUAGUAACUUCUAAAUUCCAAGUUGCCAAAUAACUCUUAACUUGAAUUUGGGAAACACUUCACUAUAUAUAAAUUUACUAGGAAGCAUCAUGUAAUUCCAAGUUGCCACUUCCUCUUUGGUUCAACUAAAUGUUUGAAAUUCUAUUCACUUGUGUAUCAAACUUAAACUUGUUGUGUGAGCUAGUCAGAACUCAAUAUGAUAUGUGUUUUCAUGCUCGCUACAUGAGGACAGUAAGCUAAGGUUUCAAGUGCAUUACAAUGUUUUAGCCUUAAAAAGGGCAUAGAAUUAUGAGAUGUUGUAUGAAUUUCACAAAAUUGUUUAACAUGUAUUAGUAAUCCAUCAAAUGGGCCUAUCGUAUUUCUAAGUUGACACAUUGUAAUUUUGAUUUUCUUGGGUAAUUCUGGGAUCGCCCUCUUGAUGUCCCCUUCUUCUUAUAUGUUUUUAUCUUUUAAUAAAAUCUUCGUCGUCUCUCAAAAAUAAAAAAUAAAAAUCCAUCAAUCCUAUUUUUCAGGCUCAACUCUGUGAAUCCAUUCUCUUGUUGGAUUCCAAUAGUUGUACCCACAUGUCUGCACCAUAACCUAGAAAAUGAAUUCAAGGCCUCCCAUCAUUUGUUUUUCCAUCAGUAAAAAACUACAUAUUUACAAUAAGCAGAAAUAAAAUAAAUGAAUCUUCCAAAAGGCCAAAGGGGCAAGGUCCAAGGCUGAAAUAACAUAUACUGUGGCUUUUCUCCAAAUACACCUGACAUGACGACUUUCCCAAUCAUGUGUUACAAAGGCAGAUCAGUGAAUAAAUAUAAAGCAAAGGUUGGACAUAGAAUUGAUAUUAACUGAAUGCAAUAUUAUCAUAUCAGCUUUGUUCUCUUCAGAUGAAUCGAUUUUCAUUUGUGUUUUAUCAUUUGGUUGAAAUUUGAGUUGAAUUUGUAGUGCUUUUUGUCUUUGUUCUCCUAAUACUUUUCCCUACAUGCCUCUGUUUAUAUACAUUUCACUUAUUUAUGCAUUUGGUUGAUUUUUAUUUUUUUUUGAAAUUGUGAAUUGGGUUUUCAGAGAUUUUUCUCUUAAUUCAGCUUUGUUCUCUUCAGAAGCAUCGAUUAACAUUUAAAUUUUUUAUUGAUUGGGGUGGAGUUGAUAUUUGAAUUGAAUUUGUAGUGAAAUGGCAUUUCCUAACAUGGUUUUUGUUUUCCUAAUACUUUCCCCUACCUUUCUCUGUUUAUGUAAAUCUCACUUUUUUAUAGAUUUGGUUAAUUUUUUGUUGAAAUUGUGAAUUUGGUCGUCACCAAUUUUUGCUCUCAAUAAAGUUUUGUUCUUGCCAGGUGAAAUGCUUUUGGCUUGUUCGGGUGCCACUUUAAAAUGAGUUCAUCCCAUUUUUGUUAAUUGUAACUCUGUUUUAAAGAUCAUAUUUAUUUAAAAAUAAUAUUGAUAACUAACAAUCAUGAUCUCUAAGAUGUAAUUGCAAUGAACUAAUAGGGUAUACGCUCAUUUUUAAGUGGCACUCAAACAAGCCGUUAGCAUUUGAAUUUGUCUGAGUAUGCAUGUAAUCUGGUUGAGAUUUGGACCUCCUUGUAUAUAAUGUUUCACAGGUGGCUUCGACCCAUCACUUGGAGUUGCCGUUUCAUUUAAAAAUGAUCAAAUUCCUUGGUCUUAUUUGGGCUGUUACAAGUUGAUUGUUGUUCAAUUUCCUUUACGAAGGAAAAUCAACUAUCAGAACAAUUUGUUAUUAUUACUGAAUUUUAGUGAUGUUUUUGAACAGAUUUCUACACUGAAGUUUAUGUUCUUUAAAUAAUGAUAUGAUGGCAUUUGGUUGAUGGGUGGCCUGGUGCAUCGCAUCACAUGGCUUUGCUAUUUCGUUAAAAAAUUAGCAAAUCCAUGUCUUGUUUGACUUCUUGGCAUGUUUGUUCUCUUCAACUUGCAUAUGGAGACUUUGAUAGUUAUCGUUGUAGAUGGGUACCAACGUUGCUUGGUUGAAAUGAUGUAUGGACGAGGAGGCUGGAGAUAGGUAGGUAUAUUGGCCAAUCUAGGAGUGGACCACAUAGAGGAUUUUUUAAAAUGUAUUUAGACAAUUUUCAAUUUAUUGUUGUAAAUAUUAUAUAUCUUUUAUUGUAAAUUCGUAUAAUAUUAGUUUAAUAUUCAUUUUUAAUUGUACUGCAACAUUAUUUGGGUUUCAAAUAUUUAAAAAAUACAGUUUCAAUCAGGAAAAAAAAUUAUUGGAUUUUGCUAGUGGUCAUAUGGCUUUUACCAGUGCUUCCUAAACAA
This is an RNA transcript of Magnolia sinica, 3906 nucleotides long. It is a transcript of the gene named sulfate transporter 1.2-like, with no coding region annotated. The record is from RefSeq and is a predicted model, not a curated record. The transcript is spliced from 3 exons. Lineage: Eukaryota; Viridiplantae; Streptophyta; Magnoliopsida; Magnoliales; Magnoliaceae.